Non-coding RNA from Caretta caretta (loggerhead turtle), 73 nucleotides. NCBI's taxonomy places the organism in Eukaryota, Metazoa, Chordata, Testudines, Cheloniidae. The record is from the annotation of a RefSeq genome assembly.
GUCUGGAGUAGCUCAGUUGGGAGAGCGUUAGACUGACGAUCUAAAGGUCUCGGUUCAAUCCUGGGCUUUGGCA